UGGUUACUAAAAGAUCUGAUACUUGCAGGCAAGUGGUUAUCAUCUUUCACUCACAAAUUUCCGAAGCAUUCUCACGAUUGGAUUUUAGCAGUCAACAAGCUAGACAAAGAACGUAUCGUGAUGUUCAGCAUCUUCUUGGAUGUAUCAGAUCGUUGCCUUCUGAUAGUAAAUCCAAUCCCCCUAAUUGGGGGCAACUUGAUGAGUUUCUGGCACAAAAUUUCUGUGCAGAAGCUAGUCAAUAGAUUCCUUGUAAAGUAGUCUACAUCUCAAAAACAUUGGAUAGGCAUGAUUGGAGCAAUCAAGAGGACACGUGAAGACUAUGCAUCAAUAUUGUACAAUUAAUUUGAAGAUGCGCAGUCUUCUAACUGGAUGUCUUAUUACCAAAUGGAGUUUUGAGGGGAGAAAGAGUCCUUUAACAGCAAUUUUGGAGUUGUCAUACACAGUAAUGAUUUGUCAGAUGAAUGAUUUUUUUUUUAAUGAUUGUAUUCUUUUGGCCUGGACUGUAGAUUUUUUCUUCUCUUGAUUUUGGAGAAAAGAAAGAGACAUGAGCUGACAGUGGAAGCUGAAUAAUUUUCAUAGAGUGCAGUUGUAGUGUAUACUAGUGAAAAUAAUUGUAUGUAUCGGUUCCUUGCUUUAUUCAAGCAUGUUUUCUCCUGUAUCAAUAUCAAAGAUCCUCCUAAGAA
This is a non-coding RNA of Nicotiana tabacum (common tobacco), 683 nucleotides long. Lineage: Eukaryota; Viridiplantae; Streptophyta; Magnoliopsida; Solanales; Solanaceae. The record is from RefSeq and is a predicted model, not a curated record.